Molecule: ribosomal RNA, 483 nt
Filed under: uncultured bacterium
Lineage: Bacteria
Description: partial 16S ribosomal RNA
Rfam family: Bacterial small subunit ribosomal RNA
Source: RNAcentral
AUUGAACGCUGGCGGCAUGCUUUACACAUGCAAGUCGAACGGCAGCGCGGGCUUCGGCCUGGCGGCGAGUGGCGAACGGGUGAGUAAUGCAUCGGAACGUGCCCAGUAGUGGGGGAUAGCCCGGCGAAAGCCGGAUUAAUACCGCAUACGACCUGAGGGUGAAAGCGGGGGACCGAAAGGCCUCGCGCUAUUGGAGCGGCCGAUGUCGGAUUAGCUAGUUGGUGGGGUAAAGGCUUACCAAGGCGACGAUCCGUAGCUGGUCUGAGAGGACGACCAGCCACACUGGGACUGAGACACGGCCCAGACUCCUACGGGAGGCAGCAGUGGGGAAUUUUGGACAAUGGGGGCAACCCUGAUCCAGCCAUGCCGCGUGCGGGAAGAAGGCCUUCGGGUUGCAAACCGCUUUUGUUCGGGAAGAAAUCCUCUGGGCUAAUACCCCGGGGGGAUGACGGUACCGGAAGAAUAAGCACCGGCUAACUACGU